GGAGGCUUGAUUUUUGAGCUUCCGAGCUUCUUUUGCAUCAUGAGGAAGAACUCCAUCUCUGAGAUAUGCCACCAGUGGGUCGAUCCAACUGGACUCAUGGUCAAUUUCUAUCACGGGCCGCAAUUCUUCCAUACUUGGGCACUUCAGAACUUCAAAGAGAACACCCUUAGGCAAUUCAGCUAGAGCGUAGCCAGCUUGGAGAGA
This 204-nucleotide long non-coding RNA is filed under the name Elaeis guineensis (African oil palm). RNAcentral describes it as "long non-coding RNA (EGUI_LNC012456)". The record is from RNAcentral. Lineage: Eukaryota; Viridiplantae; Streptophyta; Magnoliopsida; Arecales; Arecaceae.